UACGGAGGGGGCGAGCGUUAUUCGGAAUUAUUGGGCGUAAAGGGCGCGUAGGCGGCCCGGUAAGUCAAAGGUGAAAUCCCUCGGCUCAACUGAGGAACUGCCUUUGAAACUGUCGGGCUUGAGGCCGGGAGAGGGUAGUGGAAUUCCCAGUGUAGCGGUGAAAUGCGUAGAUAUUGGGAGGAACACCAGUGGCGAAGGCGGCUACCUGGACCGGUUCUGACGCUGAUGCGCGAAAGCGUGGGUAGCAAACAGG
This 253-nucleotide ribosomal RNA is filed under the name uncultured bacterium. RNAcentral's name for it is "partial 16S ribosomal RNA". It matches the Rfam family "Bacterial small subunit ribosomal RNA", at positions 524 to 776 of the family's 1533-position model. The record is from RNAcentral.